Molecule: transfer RNA, 71 nt
Filed under: Stegodyphus mimosarum
Lineage: Eukaryota; Metazoa; Arthropoda; Arachnida; Araneae; Eresidae
Rfam family: tRNA
About the family: Transfer RNA (tRNA) molecules are approximately 80 nucleotides in length.
Source: Rfam by way of RNAcentral
GCCUUCGUGGUGUAACGGUAGCACGUUCAGCUCGUAUUUGAGACAUCCAGAUUCGAGUCCCGGCGAGGCCU